AUACGGAGGAUCCGAGCGUUAUCCGGAUUUAUUGGGUUUAAAGGGUGCGCAGGCGGCCAUUUAAGUCAGCGGUUAAAUCGUGGGGCUCAACCCCAUUCUGCCGUUGAUACUGGGUGGCUUGAUUGCGGUCGAGGUUGGCGGAAUUCGUUGUGUAGCGGUGAAAUGCAUAGAUAUGACGAGGAACACCGAUUGCGUAGGCAGCUGACCAGACCGCAAAUGACGCUCAUGCACGAAAGUGCGGGGAUCGAACAGGAUUAGAUACCCUGGUAGUCCGCACAGUAAACGAUGAAUACUUGUUUUCGGCGAUAUAAUGUCGGAGGCAAAGCGAAAGCGAUAAGUAUUCCACCUGGGGAGUACGCCGGCAACGGUGAAACUUAAAGGAAUUGACGGGG
Molecule: ribosomal RNA, 392 nt
Filed under: uncultured bacterium
Lineage: Bacteria
Description: partial 16S ribosomal RNA
Rfam family: Bacterial small subunit ribosomal RNA
Source: RNAcentral